Molecule: ribosomal RNA, 377 nt
Filed under: uncultured bacterium
Lineage: Bacteria
Description: bacterial SSU rRNA
Rfam family: Bacterial small subunit ribosomal RNA
Source: RNAcentral
UAAGACGGAGGGCGCAAGCGUUGUUCGGAAUCACUGGGCGUAAAGCGCACGCAGGUGGUCCCUUAAGUCCACUGUUAAAUCACGGGGCUCAACCCCGGAGGUGCAGCGGAUACUGAGGGACUGGAGACUGGUAGAGGCUAGCGGAAUUCCUGGUGUAGCGGUGGAAUGCGUAGAUAUCAGGAGGAACACCGGUGGCGAAGGCGGCUAGCUGGGCCAGUUCUGACGCUCAUGUGCGAAAGCGUGGGGAGCAAACAGGAUUAGAUACCCUGGUAGUCCACGCCGUAAACGAUGGGCACUAGAUGCCGGGCUCUUCGACGAGUUCGGUGUCGUAGCUAACGCAUUAAGUGCCCCGCCUGGGGAGUACGGCCGCAAGGCUG